CCCAGACUCCUCGGGAGGCAGCAGUGGGGAAUAUUGGGCAAUGGGCGCAAGCCUGACCCAGCAACGCCGCGUGAAGGAAGAAGGCCCUCGGGUUGUAAACUUCUUUUAUCAAGGACGAAACAAAUGACGGUACUUGAUGAAUAAGCCACGGCUAACUACGUGCCAGCAGCCGCGGUAAUACGUAGGUGGCAAGCGUUAUCCGGAUUUACUGGGCGUAAAGGGAGCGCAGGCGGCGCGCCAAGUCUGAUGUGAAACCCCGGGGCUCAACCCCGGGCAUGCAUUGGAAACUGGCGGGCUGGAGUGCCGGAGAGGUAAGCGGAAUUCCUAGUGUAGCGGUGAAAUGCGUAGAUAUUAGGAGGAACACCAGUGGCGAAGGCGGCUUACUGGACGGCAACUGACGCUGAGGCUCGAAAGCGUGGGGAGCAAACAGGAUUAGAUACCCCAGUA
This 447-nucleotide ribosomal RNA is filed under the name uncultured bacterium. RNAcentral's name for it is "bacterial SSU rRNA". It matches the Rfam family "Bacterial small subunit ribosomal RNA", at positions 330 to 792 of the family's 1533-position model. The record is from RNAcentral.